GGCUGGUCAAAGUGCAACGGUGUUAACACUAAUCACAACCAGUUACAGAUUUUUUUGUUCCUUCUCCACUCCAACUGCUUCAUUUGACUAGCCUAUG
This 97-nucleotide Y RNA is filed under the name Pan troglodytes (chimpanzee). It matches the Rfam family "Y RNA". From Rfam's summary of the family: Y RNAs are components of the Ro ribonucleoprotein particle (Ro RNP), in association with Ro60 and La proteins. Lineage: Eukaryota; Metazoa; Chordata; Mammalia; Primates; Hominidae. The record is from RNAcentral.